Acinonyx jubatus (cheetah) is the source of this 8721-nucleotide long non-coding RNA. RefSeq lists it as uncharacterized. The transcript has 3 exons. NCBI's taxonomy places the organism in Eukaryota, Metazoa, Chordata, Mammalia, Carnivora, Felidae. The record is from RefSeq and is a predicted model, not a curated record.
GUUUCUGGAAGACAGAGACCCCAGCGAUAGUCAUCUAUAAGUUGUACUGUUAAAAGCACAGAAUAAGCAUUAAUAGAGGCAGAAACCAAAGUGAGGUUGGAUUAGAGAUAACUGCUCUCCACAAGAGUCUCAGAGGGUUUAGGAUCUUCUCAAUGCAGAGUCUGUCAGAAUUUCAAAAUGCCGGGGGCAGGGAGCCUGCCUGUGGACAGCCCAGGGCAUGGGACCCGCCAUGUUUUGAUGUUGGGUGUGGUAGCAUUUCUGAAAGCCGUCACAACCUUUCAGCACCAGAAACAGAGCCCAAAUUUAAAGGAGUGGGGGCGCAGAGACCAAGGUUAUACUUCAGUUUUAUACCGAAACUAAAAGGUUGAAUUAUGUUUACGAUAAAAGGUAAAGAUUGCAGAGAAGAGUACUUAAAGUCUAGAAAAGGAAUAAAGUACCUGAGCAAAAGGUCGUAGAGAACCUAUUUGGUGGCAGCCACUGAAUUCAUACCAAUUUGGGACUUCUGCUGGUGACAGUAGGAACUGCCGACCCCUGUAAUUGCCAUAUUCAUAAGUAACCCAUCUGGGAAAAAGAAGUGGAAAACCACAGUAAGCGGCAGUAUCCCUUUAACAGUUGCCCCUGAUUAUAUUUUUAUAGUGCUUCCAAGUUUUACACGGAGCUUUAUACUUUAAAUAUACAUUGGGAGAGAAAAAGAAACUAUUUUCUAAAACACUUAAAGCACCCAUUUAUUGACAAAUAGCAAAUUCUUGGUACAUGAGUAUGCCACAAAGAUCCAUUUUUUUUUCAUGUUUAUUUAUUUUUGAGAGAGAGAGACACCAUGAGUGGGGAAGGGCAGAGAGAGAGAGACACAGAAGCGAAAGCAGGCUCCAGGCUCUGAGCUGUCAGCACAGAGCCCGACACGGGGCUGGAACUCACGAACUGUGAUAUCAUGACCUGAGCCCAAGUCAGAUGCUUGACCUACUGAGCCAUCCAGGAUCCUAUCUUGAAGAGAAAUAGGACAAAUCACAAGCUCUGGCCAGGCUUGGCCUUUCUCUGGAGGUCUGGGUGUUCAUGCACUCCGAAGCUAAGGAGAGGACAGGCAGGAAAUUUUCUACUACAUGGAAAGGUGGGUAAAUAUAACUGUUUUAAAGCUCUGAUAUGGAGGGGGCCAUAUCCUAGGCACAAAGGAAUGGGUAUAUGUAUUGAAUCAACACUUGUAAUGAAAUUUAUUUUCAAUUUUGCCAUUGUUUAUUAGGGAAAAGGAGGGGCUGGAAAGCCAUGGACAUAAAUGGUGAGGGUCAGAGGACUAUGGCUGUCUUUGGGGUCUAGUGGUAACAGUGGUAAUUACCUAAUCAAAGAAACUUCCCCUUGUAUGCAUUUUCAAAUGUCUUUUUUGUUGUUGUUGUUGUUUUGUCACUAAGACAACGAUUCUUUAUACUCAUGCUCCCAAACUUUCCUAUAGGAAUAAUUGUUAAAAGGAGAGAAAAAAUCCAGUGUGGAAGCUGCAUGUUCAAGCCAUCAGUCAUUUUAAAGAGGACAAGGGCACAGAAGUCCAUUCAUUUUCAGAAAAUAAAAAGCAGAUUAUACUUCUUUUUCAAAUCACAGUUUGAAACUGACCCUAGUCUAAGCUCUAAUGAUAAUAAUCCUAAGAUCAUAAAUAAUACAUCAAAAAUUACCUACCUGCUUAAAGUUUUGUGAUUAGGGUGUGGUAACUUACUGCUUCAUUGAUGUGGAUGUGCCCUGACAUGUACAAAGAUUUCUGCCGACCAGUAAACAGAGCAGAUUAGUGUGUAGAGGUGGUUUGUAUAGUGUAGGAAUUAGGUUAUAUAAAAUAUACUAGAAGGAAAUGACGUAAAUAUCACAAGUGGCUGAGCAUAUCCACCAAGUACUAGGUGAAGGAAGGCAUUUGGAAACUGCAACGGCAGUGGGUUUGGUUUUUUUGUUUUUUGAAAAUAUAUUUGGAGAUAGCUGUUAGAAUUCUAGGGUGGUUAAAUACCAAAGUUUUAGAUAUUUCACUGUAAGUUAGUGAAUCUUAAACACCAUAUGAUGUUUCACUGAUACUAUUUUCACAUCUAAAGAAACGGUCAACAUUUUAGUUAUUUGAACAGGCAGGGAGGAGAUAAAGCCAUCUCAUGUAUGUUCUUUCUACCUGUAAAACUGAAGUCACCGAUGACAUAUGUUUUAAGCUUUUUAUAAGAGAUCAGCUACAAAAAAAACUAACAAAUAUUUCCAAAACUACAGACACACCCAGAGUUGAACAAUCAGAACAUUAUCUUGCUGUUUUAUUGUACUGAAUAUUGCUUUAGCUACAUCAAAAAUUAAAGGUUUCUAUGCAAAAAGGGGCACCAUAAUCUAAAGGAGCACAUGUGUGAUAAACUGGGAGAAGACGUGAUUGCAAAUUUCUAAGACAACAAAGCGAUAGAUUUAAAAACUAUGAAGAAUUUCUGCAACCCAGUGACAACAAAAGAUACAGAAAACUUAAUAAAGAGUUUGGCAAAGGAUAUAAAAACAGACUAUUCACUGAAUAGAAAAUCCAAAUGACUAGUGCAGGAGAUACUGGUGAAACAUAACACAAUGAGAAAAUACUUUCUACCUAAUUUCUUCAAAUUGACAAAAGUCAGAAAAUAUUCAGUAAUGGCAAUGAUGGAGAAAAUGAAUCCACAUGCUCUGCCAGCAAAGAUCCCAAGUAGUGGAAUCUGGCAUUACUUAGAGAAGCUGAAUAUUCAUGCACAUGGAAUCCUGCAAUUCUACUUUUUAAAUAUAUAUCUCGAAGGGAUUCCCACACAGGUCAACGGGGAUACGUGUGCAUGUGAGGAUAAAGUAAAAUAAAAAACAUUUUAUAAGAAUAUCUAAGCUGUAUCCCAAACACACUAGAAUGGGUACCUGUAAAGGAGAGAGGAAUAAAAAUAGGGAUCAGGUAUGCAAUGGAAGAAAGACAGGAGAGGGGCCUUGAACGAACCCCUGAUGACUAUACCACGACUGACUGAACACCCUUGACCUGAAGUCUGAGAAAACAGCAAAGAAAGUCAACUUCUAUGUUAAAGCUCUGAAAAGAGACCAAAAAGUUAUAGGCUGGAACGUUCUAUUGCAACUGUUUUCUGUGCCUCUGACUUUAAGUCCUGAGGAAGCCUCCCUGCUGGUUUCCAUCAGCUGCAUGAACCACACAUCUCUGUGACGCCAUAUUCACACUGACAUUUUUAUACUUACAACAUCUAUAAAACGAAGAGACUUGAAAGCUGCUUCAGGCAGGCAUCCCAUCGCGGAGACACAAGGGUAGUGGCCUUCUUCCAACACGUACUGAUUACCAGAGAAAUUUUCUCCAUCAUAUGCAACCCAGCUAUGACAGGAAAAAAACAUAGACGUGUACAAUAUGUAAUUUGAAUAUUCCUAUUCAAGAAUAGAUAGCCUGCUAUAUAUAAAACACAAUGCCGGUGGCUAACUGUUCUGUCUCCAAAAAUAUCUAGACCUGUUUACUUUUUUCCAUUGUGUUGCAAAUGAAUAUUCAUAAGUCAGUUGUUAAUUUUGCAUUUGGGAAACAAAGUUUUUCUCCCCAAAAUCUUCAGUUUCUAUCUCUGCACCUUCCAGUACUCCUUGCUCCCCUCGUGGGUGCCACCAUCCUCUAGCCCUUGAGUCCUCUCUGAAUAAUCCUUCAACCUUCACAGCUAAUCAGUCACCUUGGGUCUACCAACAUCCUUCCCAAAUGCCUUCCCUUUAUCCUCAUUUCCAGCGCCUCGGUACUGGGCCAUGAGUCAAACUACCAUAGUGACUUAGACAAGUCAUUUAGCCCCUCAGGGCCCCAGCAUUACUAGUAAGAUGGUGAUUUUCCAUGCUUCCUUAGAAGAGGUGGGGCUUUUUGUUUGUUCUUUUAAUCCAAGGAAGCUUACUGAGGACUAAUUGUAGAUCAGGUACUUUUCCACUGCUGGGGAUAGGACAGAGGACAAAACGAAGUCCCUGCUAUCAUAAAAUCUACACUCUGGUGAGCUGAGACAGACAACAAAUGCACAACAACAAAAGUAGCUGUCUGGUAGUAAGAAGUGAAGCAGGGCAGGGGAUAAAGAGGAACUAGGACAGAGACGGAGGUGUGUGCUAAUAAACAAAAUCUUUACUGUAAAUCUGUGCACUUGAAUGCAAAGCCAGUGCUGUUUCCACUGUGCAGUGCUAACCGAUAUGGUGCUAUUUACACCAUAAAGAACUGUAUGAUUAAAGACACUAUUACUAUUAUUAUUAUUAGACUUAAUUCCUCAUCACCUUCUGCACAGUUUGCUCCAAGUGUUUCCUAGCCAACUUUCCCUGACCUUGGGCUCUCCCCUCCCUGUAAAGCUUUUAUGAAACUAUUUUCAGCACGGCACUUUGGGCUCAUGCCUUUCUUUCCCUUCUUAUGAUUACACUGUUGUCAUGCAGAAUGCCUAUCUACCGGGGCGCCUGGGUGGCUCAGUCGGUUCAGUGUCCAACUUCGGCUCAGGUUAUGAUCUCACAGUCCGUGAGUUUGAGGCCCACAUCGGGCUCUGUGCUGACAGCUCGGAGCCUGGAGCCUGUCUCCGUCUCUCUCUCUGCCCCUCCCCUGCUCGUGCUGUCUCAAAAAUAAACAUAAAAAACCUUUUUUUAAAGCAUGCCUAUCUACCUGUAAAAAAAAAAAAAAAAAUCCACCUUGGGAGGCACCUGAGGGAUUAUUAGAGUCCCGUUAUGGUGACAGGACAGGCUAGAGAGUAGAGAACCUGGUCUGAAUCCCAUUGCACAGUGACAUGGUGAUUUUCAACUUCUCCAUCCAAAGCGAUCCCAUGUCCUCUGCCCAGUGCUCAGAUGCUACAAGGUGCACCUCAGUACUAACAUGGUCUUGUACCGUUGGUGGUUUCAUAUAGUGCCAAACACCUAGGGAUGUCCCUAAAGAUUUGCUGAUUCGUGCAUUCUACUCUCCCGGGGAUUGGGCCCUGCCAGUCCACCGUUUUACUUACCUGCCUCCUAAAACUCUGCAAGACUUGGUAGAAAACGAAUCAUCAAUUUGACUUGUUGUUUCUUCGAAACCUAGACUGCGACCUUGAAACUGUGGUUCUGAAAACAACUGAAUCUUUGAAAAAGUAAACAAAUAUGUAAGCUUAUUUUCCUAAACAUAUUAACUCAUUCAGCCUUUGAGAUGAUGCAAACAUGACCUGUUAAUAAACUGCUAUGAAUUUUAUAAAUCCUUUAAUUUUCCACUUCUACAUUAAUGAUCAAUUAGAAAUACUCUGGCCACACCAUUCAUGAUUAUUUGAUUCAAAGACAUCAAAGGACAAUCCGACAGUUGAGGCAGCUUUCUAUAGAACACCCUGUCGCAACAAGCUGUGAGGCAUUUUAAAGCUUUAUUGUGGCCAAAAGUAAUUGUUCGUCAGUUCUAACAUUUACAACAAAAUGUAUUUUAGAAAUAUAGUUUUCCUCCCUCUCAAUGGAAGAUACUUGCUGACUUAUUAGAAUCUUGUGUAUGCCAAUAAAGGAGGCUACAGUGGUGUUUGUGCCUCUGUAAUUACGGCUGUCUGAAUUCUGAACACUUCCAUUAAAAAGCCUAAAUAACAAAUGUAACACUUCAGUUGAUGCAGACAGCAUGCAAAGGCUUGAGUGAGAGACCGUAUAAAAUGUUUGUCUAAUGUAGACACAGCAAAUAUGAAAAUUCAUUUUACUGUUUACCACAAUAACUGUAUGUAUUGAGAUAUUAAUCUUAGCGUAUUAAGCAAAUUGAUUCUAUGUAAUGAUAUUAAAUUCAACUUUACAUAAGAAGAACAUUUUAUGUAUGUAUGUCCAUGUCCAGAAUGGAGCCUAAUGCAGGGCUUGAACUCAUGACCCUGAGAUCAAGACCUGAGCUGAGAUCAAGAGCCUAACCAACUGAGCCACCCAGGCACCCCGAGAAGAGCAUUUUAUAAGAAAUAUCUAGAUAUGAGUCAAUGCUCUCAAGCAUUUAUAAAGUAAACCUAAAUCUAACUUAGAAAUACAAUUAUGGUUUGAGGUAUAAAAAUAAGUAAAACUAACAAAAUAUCCCAAAUGUCUGACAUUUUACACAUAAGGUCAGCUUUUCAAUGGAAGGCCCCUAAUUAUAAAAAAUAGAUUAUUUUUUAAAUUACCUGAUUUCGUCUCCUUGGGCCAGUAAAAGAAUCCUAAAAAAUUUUAAGGGGAAGAGAGAAGGAAAUGAGUAGAGCAGACAUCUUGAAAACAUUUUUUUCUUCUAGAUCAUUAGCAAUUACUGUUAAAAAUAACCUCAGAAUAGUUUCUGUACUGUUAAGUAUUACAUGAACCCGAAGUACACAUUAAGGAAAUCCAGAAUUCAGUUAAAUAUUCUCAUACAAAAGUAGAAUUCCUUACCAAAUAUAUGGGUUGAACAGAAGAGAUCUUACAAUUUUUGCCUCCCCAGUCCUCAAAACUGGUAUAGAAACCUUUAUCCAAUAUAUAUUGUUCUCCUGUGAAGUCAGGAUUUUCAUAGGCUACCCAUCUAAAGAAACACAAACAUCUACUUGUCAUAGUUGAUAGUUGACAUGUAUAAUAAAACUAUCAAACACAUUUAAGUAAAUAUGUAUCAUACAGAAAUUUUCAUUUGUUUUAAUAAUCAGUAAUCUUAAUAAUUUUUCUGAUUCUCUAUUAAUCUUUUGGGAGAUCUGUCUGUAUGACAAGUCAAAGUGACAAAUGAAAGAAUAUCUUUACACAAACCUUUUGGUGUAAGAGUCUCUUUACAUGAACUUUUUGGUGUUCUCACAUGUCAAAUCCUAUUCCCUGAGAAAGCUCCCAUGGGGAUAUUUUUUUCGAAUUCUUAUUUAUUUUUUAGAGAGUGUGCAAAUGAACAAGGGGGCAGAGAGAGACAGAGAAUCCCAUGAGGUACAGAGAGAGAGGGAGAGAGAGUGCAGAGCCCUGAGUGGGGGUCGAGCUCACAAACUGGUAAGAUCAUGACCUGAGCCAGAGUCAGACACUGGCUCAGGUGGCCUAAGCCACCCAGGUGCCCCUCUAAUUCUAUUCUAAGGAAACAACAUGGACUUCCAAGAAGUAUCUGUAAAGUUUUUCUUUUAAACUGCUCUUAAAAAUUUUUUUAAAGAUUAUUUAUUUAUUUUGAGAGAGUGAGCAAGCAGGGGAGGGGCAGAGAGAAAGAGAGAUGGAAUCCCAAGCAGGCUCCACACUAUCAGAUAGGCUCCACUCUGAUAGUGUGGAGCCUGAUGCAGGGCUUGAACUCAUGAACUGUGGGAUCAUGACCUGAGCCAAAGUCUGACACUCGAACAAAGUGUCAAAGUCUGACACUCAGCCACCCUGGCGCCCCUCUAAUCCUAUUCUAAGGAAACAACUUGGACUUCCAAGAAAUAUCUGUAAAGUUCUCUUAAAAAGCAAGUAAGAGUUCUUUUUAUUUUUGACAUUAAUAGUUUUCCAGAAAGAGUACAAGAAACUAUGUCUCUAUCACACAAUAAAGCAUAGUGGAAAAAGGUAACAGAAGAAAGGCUUUAAAAAAAUACAGCUAAGUAAAAUUUUAUUUGGAACAGGAUUUCCAAUGUGACAUGACUAUGUAGUAAGCAAAACUGAACAGAUGCUCAGAAACACUAAAAUCUCUUUUGGGAGGUUUUCUUUUGUCACCUUUCAAGUGAUCCACACUCAGGAUAAUUAAACCAGGAUAACAAAACCAACUUAUUGAUGCUACUAGCCAAAGAUAGUCUCUGAAGGGAAUUUUUUCAAUUUCGUUAUAUUCAACAGAUAAUUCUGCACCUCCUGAGUUAAUUCACUGCCCUACUGAUCUGCUCACAGAUGAAAGGAAUAAUACCUAGGUGCUUGUAGACAUACUCACAACUUUCCAAAAUGCUUUCACAUCUAUGACCACAUUUAAUCUAGGGAGGACUGGUUUUCCCAUUUUACAGAAAGGAAAACCUAAAGACACAGAAAAGUUAAUUCCCUGAUUCUUUCAACAAACCUCGACUGGCCAUUUAUCAUAUGCCAGAAACUAAAUGACGCUAGGUGUGUGAGGAGGAAAAGUAUCACACGUAAUUACUUAUUGGUGUUUGUUUUGAACGGGAAGGUGACACAAUCAGUUAGUGGCCAGGGAUGACUGAGUCCAUGAUGGAGUCUCCUGGGGCUCCCCCCACGCUCUCUUCACUUCAUGACCCAAGCUGCCACCGGCCCUGUUAAGUUUCCUUUCAUUUACUCUUCCAUUACACCAGACUUGAAAUAGUCCACACGCUUCAUAAUUAGGACAGAUUAUGAUUUUACUACCAAAAGGGCUUGACUUUAUACAAAAACUCAGAUACAGUCGUUACUAGGAAAUGAACAGCAAUCAAGGAGAAAAAAAGAACACUAAAAAUCUCCAGUGUUACGUAGCUUAUGACAGCUAAUGUCUCUACACACACUUCUGCCCAAAUGAACAGAGUAACUGCUAGAAGGCCAGUCCCGUCAUAUUUCAGAAAACACUACUCCAUUUCAGAACCUCAUUAGCAAUUUUUAAAACCUGUUCUUUAACAUGGUGAGGUCAGGAAUUAGGAGACCUAGUUCCAGCUAUGGUCGGGACAUUAACUUUCAGAUAACUUUGAAGGGCUCACUUAACCUUUGUGAAAGUUCAUAGUCUCAUUUGUAAGUAGAGGGCUUGGCCAGGAUCCCAGGGCUGACAUCAUGUGAGGUUCUAUGGCUCCUGGGAACCUGAGUGUGCGGCUUCUGCUCACACGGCCUUUGCCUCAUGAAGAGAAGCAAAAGCCAAGCAAGAACGUGGAAUCCUGCUAUGUGGGGAGGAGUAGGUGCACGGCAAGAAAAAUCUAU